Molecule: ribosomal RNA, 497 nt
Filed under: uncultured bacterium
Lineage: Bacteria
Description: partial 16S ribosomal RNA
Rfam family: Bacterial small subunit ribosomal RNA
Source: RNAcentral
GAUGAACGCUGGCGGCGUGCCUAAUACAUGCAAGUCGAGCGAACAGAUAAGGAGCUUGCUCCUUUGACGUUAGCGGCGGACGGGUGAGUAACACGUGGGUAACCUACCUAUAAGACUGGGAUAACUUCGGGAAACCGGAGCUAAUACCGGAUAACAUUUGGAACCGCAUGGUUCUAAAGUGAAAGAUGGUUUUGCUAUCACUUAUAGAUGGACCCGCGCCGUAUUAGCUAGUUGGUAAGGUAACGGCUUACCAAGGCGACGAUACGUAGCCGACCUGAGAGGGUGAUCGGCCACACUGGAACUGAGACACGGUCCAGACUCCUACGGGAGGCAGCAGUAGGGAAUGUUCCGCAAUGGGCGAAAGCCUGACGGAGCAACGCCGCGUGAGUGAUGAAGGGUUUCGGCUCGUAAAACUCUGUUAUUAGGGAAGAACAAAUGUGUAAGUAACUGUGCACGUCUUGACGGUACCUAAUCAGAAAGCCACGGCUAACUACGUG